UUCUUUUUAGUUUAAAUAGAAUUCUUGUCUUCCAAUCAAGAGGUCCUUUAAUUUUAGGAAAAGAAA
This 66-nucleotide transfer RNA is filed under the name Crassiplana albatrossi. Its description in RNAcentral is "tRNA-Gly". Lineage: Eukaryota; Metazoa; Platyhelminthes; Polycladida; Callioplanidae. The record is from RNAcentral.